This 253-nucleotide ribosomal RNA is filed under the name uncultured bacterium. RNAcentral's name for it is "partial 16S ribosomal RNA". It matches the Rfam family "Bacterial small subunit ribosomal RNA", at positions 524 to 776 of the family's 1533-position model. The record is from RNAcentral.
UACGUAGGUGGCAAGCGUUGUCCGGAUUUAUUGGGUUUAAAGGGUGCGUAGGCGGUCUUUUAAGUCAGUGCUGAAAUAUCCCGGCUUAAUCGGGAGGGUGGCAUUGAUACUGAAGGACUUGAGUAAAGUUGAGGUAGGCGGAAUUGACGGUGUAGCGGUGAAAUGCUUAGAUAUCGUCAAGAACACCGAUAGUGUAGACAGCUUACUAAGCUUUAACUGACGCUGAGGCACGAAAGUGUGGGGAGCGAACAGG